UCAGCGCUUUUGAUAAAAGUGUAAGAAGUUAAUAGAUUUUCCUUUUUUUCAGGGAAAGAGCUUUGCUUUGAUGAGGUUUUGUCUUUGCUAAAUUCAUCGUGGAUGGAAUACUACCUUUAUCACAGCUCUGGACAUGCUGCUUAGACCACCCUUUAGAAUGUGUCACAAUGACCACCGUCAGCUUUCAGUAAAGACAACAGAUGAGGACCAAUGAUUUAUGGCCAGUACCACUCUGAUCUGUGUGUAGUUACAGACUGUCUCCAUUUCAGACUCCCUUGCUGUCAACCAGCUUGCAUUAGAGAUCGUUCACUAUGAUUGAGUGACUAUAUGUGAGGUUGCAACAUUACUAACCCAAAGUAAAGAACCAAUGGAGAAGGAAAACCCCAAAUCAGAUGUACUAAAAAGAUCUUACAUUUUUGAUUAAUUUACAAUAUAAUUGGAGGCCUUAUGAUGGAGCCCCAGUCAACUUCUCACUGAAAAGUGAGGAUUUGGGAGCAGAAAGCAUUUCACUUGAUCAUUACCAAUGCCCAGGUAUGAGAACUGACAGAUAUCAGAAGGAAAAAGGGAAGAAAUGUGAUGCCAGCUGAAGGAAGGAAAAAAACCUAGGAGGAAUUUAAUGCCACAAAAAAUAAGUCACGUGGAAAAUACUGGGCCGCCACACAUGCUCUGUGACCUGUUCUUUUUUUUUUUAACUUACUGAAAUUUUAUUUAUUUAUUUAUUUAGGUUAUAUGUCUCUUUUUCUAUUAAUUUUUAUUAGAGUAUAGUUACUUUACAAUGUCGUGUUAGCCUCCACUGCAUAACAAAAUGAAUCAGCCAUACACAUACAGAUAUCCCCGCCCUUUUGAACUUCCCUCCUAUUUAAGUUACCACAGUACCUUCAGCAGAGUUCCCUGUGCUAUACAGUAUGUUCCCAUCAAUUGUCUAUUUUAUACAUAGUAUCAAUAAUGUAUGUGUAGCAAUCCCAGUCUCCCUGUUCCUCCCACCCAAACCCUUUCCCCCUUGGUAUCCAUACCUUUGUUCUCUAUGUCUAUGUCCCGUUCUUGCACUUAUAUUAUUCUUUAAUACUUUAGACCUUCAGGGCAAGAAAUGAAGGUGAAGGUGAGGGUCAACAACUUUUUCAGGUGAUCAACUUUACGGUUGAGUUCAAGUGCCAAGAGACAGUGGACAUCCCUGACUCAGUCAUACAGAUAGAUGCCCCUUUAAGGGCAAUUUGCAAAGGGUUGAACCUGACACUCUGAAUUUUCUUGGAGUGAUAGUAACUUAGUAAAAGUUCAUCUGGAGAUUUUAGAGUGAAACCUACAACGGCUGAUCUUCAAGAUACAAGCUAUAGCAGGGGUCUCCCAACCUCCCACACACCCCGCGGGCCACACAGCAGGAGAUAAACCUCUGAUGCUGGGGAGGACUCUUUAUGAAAGAAUUGAUGCAGGGGACACGUGGCUGUCAGCUCACUCGGGCAUCCAGUUACCAAGAUGCAGCUGAUUACCUACCCAAGAAGGCUAAUUACAUGCUCUUCUUAUCACCUUCUAUCUCAGCUGUGAUUCUUCCAGAUAAUAGAGAUUCCUAGCAGGGGUGGGGCUAAGUCAGAAGAUCUGCUGGGACUCCUGUAGCUUAGACGGGGCAGGAGGAAGAAGCCAGGGCCUGAUGUGCCAGGUGGGGAAACACAGCUGAACAAUAAGAAAGAGGUUUUUAUGGCUCUAAUUUAGUCUUUGUUUUGCUUUUGCAUUUUGUAAUUCCUUGCCUUUUUGCAUGUUGUAUUUUUUUUUUUUCCAGUUCCACAAGCUCCUGUCACGUCUCUUCUUUCAUCACAACCUCUUCUGUUCUUGUGGUUCCCUGAUCCUGUUUCCUGGAGGUCAUGCCCUCCAUGUCUUUUUGAAGACAUCAGGCUAAUGUCCUCUAAAAUUUUCUUUGUUCUUCUUUUCUUCCUUCUUCCCUCCCUUCCUCUUUUGUUGUUUUGUUGUAUACUUUUCUACAUUUUUAGGGAACAUUACCUUUUCCAUAUGCUUCAACAUAUUUUAUGAAUCACCUUGUGUUUUUCAUUUGUUUGUUUGUUUCCACAUAUUUUAAUAGGAAAAGAUUUUUCUAGGCAAACAGCUAAUAUGCUUGGCCCUAGAGGAUACUAAAGAGAUUCAAAGAAGAAUAAGAAUGGUACCUACCACCUGGGCCCAUCAUCUCAAUAUGUGUCAAGACAUCCUAACAAAAUGGAAUAUUAAACCUCACUUCAAAGGGACUCCUCGAGUAUUCUGGGGAUGUAAAGGAGGGAGCAAGUAAUACUGCUUAGAAGCAUCAGGCAAGCUUUGAAAAGAAGGGUAAAUUUGACCCAGAUGUUGAAGAAUGGGUCAUAAUUCACUCAGCAGAGUAGAGGAUGAAAGAGUAUAUGCAAAGUUAUGGAGAUGAAGACAGCUUGAGAGUGAGUAGUUUGGGAUCUUUAUUGUGUGGGGUGAUGUCUGAGGGCAGGAGAUGAUGGCAGAGGGGUAGGCAAAGGCCAUCAUGAAGGGACUCAUGCAUGGGCCAUGCUGAUGACUGUAGCUAUAACGUUGAGGGCAAAAAAGAGCAACCCUCGGGAGUAUGUGAAGAGUUGUGCAUUUUAUAAAGCUCUCUGGGGGGCAUGAUGGCAGUGUAGAGAAUGUAUCCAAGAGGCUGCCACCGGAGAAGGGGUGAUUUCCCACAUUCCUGAGGGCCUCCUAUAGCUGCAAGUGUCCCUGGGCAAGAAGCUACCAAUUAUUGUGAAAAUACACUUUAAUGGUCCUUCAUUCAAAAGAAUCCAAUUAACCAUUUUUCUUCCUUCUAUGUAAAUGUAAAUAUUUCUAUCAUAUGAAGCAUUUAAGACAGCCCUGGAUUGCUUUUCCAGUUAAAAACAUAUUUUAUAUGCCUGUACCUUGUUUAUAGGCUGCCUUUGCCUUUGAAUAAUCUGAAAACCUCCUCAGUGGUUAAAGCGGUGAGAAGCAUUUCAUUUCACCUUAAAGCACUUUCAUACCAAUUUCACCUCUGCGUCUCCCAUGUCCUGUUCUCUGCACUUUGGGGACGUUAACAUGCAGGUCAGUGUUUGUCUGUCACCUGUGCUCUGCCUGCUGGGACCUGGGGAAGUGUGUAAACCUGCCAGUUCCCGUCCCAGGAACUCAUAUUCUUAGCCCCAUUGUGGCAUCUGCCAGACUGUGUUUGUUCACUGGGACUUUUGGCAGUUCCAGCUGCUUGUGAAAAUAAGAUCAUUUGUGUUAGACAAAGAAGUGCUGCCAAAAUGUGGAGCUUUGUGCUGUGUCAGGUGGCGGCAGGUGCUCUGCAUGGAGCGGCAGCCAUGUCAUUAGCAGUUACCUUAUGGCAAUUUUGUUAUGUGGGUAAAUCCUUUCUGCAAAAGCCCCUCUUUGCAUAGGAGCAGAGAUGCCCAGAGAGUGAAAUUCUCUGGCUGUGUUCCAUGAUCCCUCCGGGAGUCUCUUAGUUGAGAUUGGAUGAUGCCUUUCCUGUAGAUGAUCUUUAUUCCACAGGAUGCUUAAAGUCAGCAGGAAGGGAAGCUUCUCCUUGAAACACAGAAAUCAGUGGGUGAGGAAUAAUCAUUGGGGCAAAAGGUGUCCCAGAAAUGUCUUUCUCUGAAAAAGCGUGUGGGGAAUUUUACUGCAUUGUUGCAAUUCCUAUUAGUUGUUGAGUGGACCUGUUUGGACCUUUAUGGUCUAUAUUAGUCUGCUAGGGCUGUCAUCACAAAAUACCACAGACCGGGUGGCUUAAACAACAGAAAUCUAUUUUCUUGAAGUUCUGGAGCCUGGGUGUCCAAGAUCAAGGUGCUGUUGGUUGGUUGGUGGUGAAACCUCUCUUCCCACCUCUCACUGUGUCCUCACUUAGCUUUCCCCCCGUGCACGUGCAGAGAGAGAGGGAGCUCCCUGUUGUCUGUCUCUUCCUCUUCUUUUAAGAACAACAGUACUAUGGGAUUAGGGCCCCACCCUUAUGACCUCAUUUAACCUUAAUUAUCUCUCCAAAGGCCAGUCACACUGGGGGCUAGGGCUUCGAUGUAUGAAUUGGGAUGGGUGGGUAGGGUCACCAAUUCAGUUUAUACCAUGGCCUGACUAGAAAAAUGAACACAGAGCCUGGAGGUUGUGAAGGCCAGGCACUGGCAGCUUGAGCUUGGACCUUAGGACCAGUUGGAUUCCUGGGCAUUCUGCUGUAGCAAACCCAAGGGCAGACUCUACCACCUCCUCAAAAGGUUUCCCUAGGGGAGGGUGCCCUGUUGGUCCUCGGCAGGGCCAAAGGAAAGGUUGCAUAGGAUAGAGAUGGGUCUUGUCAAAACAGAAAGAGAUGGUUUUGUUAAAAUCUUGUGGAUACCAGGGCAAUCUAAGACUAGUUUUGAGUUUAGGGUCCUAAGGGAAAUAUAAAAGGAGACAGGCAUUCUCUUGCUUUAUACUUGGACUGUAAGAUGGUUUUGGUGAAAUGGGGAAAAUAUGGUGCUGUCUUACUCGUGAUAGCAGAGGUGGCAUUAGCAAGCCUCAUCCAAGAUGUCAGAACACAGUUGGAGAGAAGGUCCAUACCAUAUGUUAGUAACCAACAGGGCCUUAAUGUAUGUGAUAUUCCAAGGAGUUCCCUACAAUAAACAGAUUCUGGGGAAGCUUGGCAGUAGGUUGUCAAGUCCUAUAAUAGCAAGCGGGGAAUAAAGAUCAUAAAAGAAUAAUAAUUACUGUGAAUUUGACCCUGCUUUGAACUCCAGCCUUUA
Molecule: non-coding RNA, 4694 nt
Organism: Kogia breviceps (pygmy sperm whale)
Lineage: Eukaryota; Metazoa; Chordata; Mammalia; Artiodactyla; Physeteridae
Source: RefSeq, a predicted model, not a curated record